Molecule: ribosomal RNA, 607 nt
Filed under: Bimeria vestita
Lineage: Eukaryota; Metazoa; Cnidaria; Hydrozoa; Anthoathecata; Bougainvilliidae
Description: partial 16S ribosomal RNA
Rfam family: Bacterial large subunit ribosomal RNA
Source: RNAcentral
CAUAGCCCUUGAAAAAAUCAAAGGUGUAACCUGCCCAAUGAUUCAUAAAUCAAUAAAAAUAAACAUUUUAUAAAAGAAUUAAAAGGACGCAGUAUCUUGACUGUGAUAAUGUAGCAUAAUCACUCGCCACUUAAUUGGUGGAUAGUAUGAAUGGUUGAACGAAUAUUUCACUGUCUCCUCUAAAAAAUUCAUUAAAUUAAAAUAAUAGUAAAGAUGCUAUUUAAAACUGUAAGACGAAAAGACCCUAUAGAGCUUAACUACAUUUUAUAUUUAAAAGAAAAAUCAAUAAUUUUAAAACUAUAUAAAAAGGUAGUUUAGUUGGGGCGACUAACUUCUAAAUAAAACGAAGUUAAGCAAAGUUAAUACAAAAACUUAUUGUAUAAUAAAUAAAUUUAACAAUUAUAAAAAUAGGCUAUAUUGACCCAUUGAAAUUAAGAAAUAUAUUCAAUGAUUAAUAAAUAAAAGCUACCUUAGGGAUAACAGGAUAAUUUUGUUUUAGAGAUCCUAUCGAAAACAAAGUUUGUCACCUCUAUGUUGAAUUAAGAUACCCCAAUAAUGCAGAAGUUAUUAAAGGUAGGUCUGUUCGACCUUUAAAAUCUUACAUGAU